Molecule: ribosomal RNA, 463 nt
Filed under: uncultured bacterium
Lineage: Bacteria
Description: partial 16S ribosomal RNA
Rfam family: Bacterial small subunit ribosomal RNA
Source: RNAcentral
GAUGAACGCUGACAGAAUGCUUAACACAUGCAAGUCUUUGGCGAAGCUGUGCUUGCACAGCCUAGCCAAGGCGGACGGGUGAGUAACGCGUAAGGAACUUGCCCUGCGGUCAGGGAUAACAGACGGAAACGACUGAUAAGACCUGGUAAAGUCAGGCGGACUCAUGUCCAGCCUGAUGAAAAGAGAUGCUGCAGGAGAGCCUUGCGUCCUAUUAGCUUGUUGGUGGGGUAACGGCCCACCAAGGCGAUGAUAGGUAGCCGGCCUGAGAGGGUGGACGGCCACAAGGGGACUGAGAUACGGCCCUUACUCCUACGGGAGGCAGCAGUGGGGAAUAUUGGACAAUGGGGGCAACCCUGAUCCAGCAAUUCUGUGUGCACGAUGAAGGUUUUCGGAUUGUAAAGUGCUUUCAGCAGGGAAGAAAAAAAUGACGGUACCUGCAGAAGAAGCGACGGCUAAAUACGUG